CUGCUCCUGCUGCCCCUCCCAGGGCUCCGGGCGGCCGUGACCCUGCUGGAGUGCGGGGGGCACCUCCAGCCCCCCAGGGGAUCCCUGCGCCUCCUCUGCCGAGGGUCCGGGUUCGAUUUUGGGAGUUAUAAAAUGUUCUGGGUGCGCCAGAGACCCGGGAAGGGGCUGGAAUACGUUGCAGAUAUCAGCAACACUGGUGGCUACACCGACUACGCGCCAUCGGUCAAGGGGCGGUUCAGGAUUUCCAGGGACAACGGGCAGAGCUCGGUGACGCUGACCAUGAACAACCUCAAGGACGAGGAUUCCGGAUCCUAUUUCUGUGGGAAAUGUGCUUACACUGGUGGUUGUAGUUCUGAUGAUGGUGCUAUUGACGUGCCGGGCAUGACCCCAUCCCCAACCAGCCUUGCAGGAGCAUCCGGGCGCAGGACGAAAUAG
Molecule: non-coding RNA, 435 nt
Organism: Melozone crissalis (California towhee)
Lineage: Eukaryota; Metazoa; Chordata; Aves; Passeriformes; Passerellidae
Source: the annotation of a RefSeq genome assembly